UUGAGAGCUCACUGGCUUCGGAUUCCAUAGGAACUCCGAAGUUAAGCGAGUUUGGGUUAGAGCAAUCCCAGGAUGGGUGAUCUACUGGGAAGUUGCUCGUGAGUUCCCAGA
This is a non-coding RNA of Prunus persica (peach), 111 nucleotides long. The record is from Rfam. NCBI's taxonomy places the organism in Eukaryota, Viridiplantae, Streptophyta, Magnoliopsida, Rosales, Rosaceae.